AGUGAACGCUGGCGGUAGGCCUAACACAUGCAAGUCGAACGGCAGCACAGUAAGAGCUUGCUCUUACGGGUGGCGAGUGGCGGACGGGUGAGGAAUACAUCGGAAUCUACUUUUUCGUGGGGGAUAACGUAGGGAAACUUACGCUAAUACCGCAUACGACCUACGGGUGAAAGCAGGGGAUCUUCGGACCUUGCGCGAUUGAAUGAGCCGAUGUCGGAUUAGCUAGUUGGCGGGGUAAAGGCCCACCAAGGCGACGAUCCGUAGCUGGUCUGAGAGGAUGAUCAGCCCAAACGGAACUGGAGAACGGUCCAGACCCCUACGGGAAGGAGCAGUGGGGAAUAUUGGACAAUGGGCGGAAGCCUGAUCCAGCCAUACCGCGUGGGUGAAGAAGGCCUUCGGGUUGUAAAGCCCUUUUGUUGGGAAAGAAAAGCAGCAGGUUAAUACCCCGCUGUUCUGACGGUACCCAAAGAAUAAGCACCGGCUAACUUCGUG
RNAcentral lists this ribosomal RNA (492 nucleotides) under uncultured bacterium. RNAcentral's name for it is "partial 16S ribosomal RNA". It matches the Rfam family "Bacterial small subunit ribosomal RNA", at positions 29 to 507 of the family's 1533-position model. The record is from RNAcentral.